UCUAAUUUUUGUUUAAUUUAAAUUUUAUAUUGUAUUCUUACCGUACUGUAUUCUUUUUCAAUUAUCAUUAUGUAUCUACACUUUCUUGUUAGUUGUUUCUGCCUAUUUAUCAUUUUAAAGAACGAAUCAUAAAAAAUAAAAAAUUAUAUAAAGCAUGUUAUUACUGUCUAGGCAAAUAUAUGAAGCGAAAUAUUUGAGUAUGAUGGGAACGUGGUCCUCUGUUAGUAGUUGUUUUAGACAAAGUUUUAAACUGUUCUGUUUUAGACUUUAAGUUAGGAUCUUGUGAUUGAUUAGAAAAACAAGAUGCAAGAAGAAGAUAAUUGAUUGGGUAAGUUAGUAGUUUAGUACUGUAUUUUUAUAUUUGUUUAUUAUGUAUUAAUUAUAAUAUUCAUAUAUCAUAUUCUCUUGGAUGCAACUAAGCAGGUCUUGAUGAAGGCAUGAAGCAUGUUAAUGACUUUUGCAGAUUGGUAGUAUGAAGAGUGAAGACUAUGAACUAUGAACUUUAUUUAAUUUGUUUUGUGUGAGAACUAUGAACUAUGCAGAUUGGCCCUUGGCAGUGUGAAGUGUGAACUUCACUGUGAAGUGUAAAUGAGGCUAAGUAAUUCAUGUUGGCUACUGCUUAAGUAAUUCAUAUUGGCUACUGUUCGUUUUUUGGUUGCCGCUAUAACCGACCGAGCUGCUGCUGUGCUUGCUACAGAAGGUGGUCUGGUGGUGAAGAAUUUUAUUGCUACUUUAGAUCCUGUAAGAGGUGAACGGCAUGGGCCUUUGAUAUAUAAUGUUGUUAGGAACCGGAUUGAGACGGAGUUCCCGGUGGUGGGACUGGAUUGAUGAGUCAAGAGACAGAGGCUUGUGAUUCCGAAGUUGGAAGUGAGAUGAUAAGCAGGGGUUUGAGCUCACCACUGAUCUUGCAUGACUUGAGUAAAAUUAGUUCAAAUGCAAAAGACUUUUGGCAAAAUAGCUAGCCAACAGAUACAUUCCUAUGGCUAUUUGUUAUAAUUAAUUUCUUUGUCUUUAGUCUUUAUAAAGUUGUAUGAAACAUUUUUUUUGGUAUUAAUGAUGAAGUCUUUUAAUA
Molecule: long non-coding RNA, 1072 nt
Organism: Ipomoea nil (Japanese morning glory)
Lineage: Eukaryota; Viridiplantae; Streptophyta; Magnoliopsida; Solanales; Convolvulaceae
Exons: 4
Source: RefSeq, a predicted model, not a curated record